GACGAACGCUGGCGGCGUGCUUAACACAUGCAAGUCGAACGGAAAGGCCCUGCUUUUGUGGGGUGCUCGAGUGGCGAACGGGUGAGUAACACGUGAGUAACCUGCCCUUGACUUUGGGAUAACUUCAGGAAACUGGGGCUAAUACCGGAUAGGAGCUCCUGCUGCAUGGUGGGGGUUGGAAAGUUUCGGCGGUUGGGGAUGGACUCGCGGCUUAUCAGCUUGUUGGUGGGGUAGUGGCUUACCUAGGCUUUGACGGGUAGCCGGCCUGAGAGGGUGACCGGCCACAUUGGACUGAGAUACGGCCCAGACUCCUACGGGAGGCAGCAGUGGGGAAUAUUGCACAAUGGGCGGAAGCCUGAUGCAGCAACGCCGCGUGCGGGAUGACGGCCUUCGGGUUGUAAACCGCUUUCGCCUGUGACGAAGCGUGAGUGACGGUAAUGGGUAAAGAAGCACCGGCUAACUACGUG
Molecule: ribosomal RNA, 467 nt
Filed under: uncultured bacterium
Lineage: Bacteria
Description: partial 16S ribosomal RNA
Rfam family: Bacterial small subunit ribosomal RNA
Source: RNAcentral